CUGCUGUGCAAUAGAAAUCUCUCGAUUUCUUUGUGUUGUGUGCUUCCAGCAUCUUCAACUUUUCACUUUCCUCUUCUUUCCUUCUCUUUCCGUUUCUCUCAUCCUAGAAUGGAAGAAAGAUGGAAAAGCAGGGCUCUUCCAUUUGCUUCCACGGAUUUCUCAAUCUCUCUCGAGCUCCGGAUCGCUAGCCUCCGUAUGAAGGAAAUCAUCAAUCCUGCAGAAUCCUUGGGUUUCUUGGGGAGUUCUCCAGCAUUUUUGUUUAGGGUUUGGUAUUUGAGUUCUCUUUUCUUUGUUCAAAUUUUUGUGAUUUUAAAACCUCAGUGGCUACAGAUUUCAUCAGUUUUUGGAUUCGAUCAGGAUCGGUUUUUUACCCACGAAAUCUAGCGUCGUCUGAUGGCUUUUUUCUAGGUUUGGUGAAUUUACAGGGGAGAGGGAGAGAGAGGCCUGUUGAGACCUGGACUGUCGAAUGGAGAGGAUGAAAAGCAACUGCAGGAAAGCGGCAAUGGAGACCCAGCAGCAGAAUAUUCAAGUCGAUCUGGGGAGCAAUUAGUGAAGGAAUGUAUAACGAACAGGACCGAGUUGAUUUAAGCUAUUGCAAAUAGUCUUUUCAACUCACAUUCAACCAAAGGCAUAGAUGGUCCCAUUGUGCAGAUGUUCGCUUACUGAACCUAAGCUGCCAAGAUAGAAAGCAUGUUUGAUCAUGUAUAUGAGCAUUUGGUAGUGAAACAUGUAUAGUGCUUCACAAUUGAAAAGAAGUGGAAUGGUAGUUUCAGGUGGACCGUAUUUGAUUGAGAAUAAGAUACCGUGCAAUAUCGAUUUUGGUAUGAAUGUUGGGGAUGAGUUUUAAUCGGUUGUAUAUAUCACCCAGUUUACCCGUUCCUACUGCUGCUCAACAGGGACGAGUUUCACAGCAGUUAAGGAUUGGUGCAUAGGAAAACAGCCAAAGAAUCCUGUUGUACAAUCAUUGGUGGUGCAAUUUUUCGGUCUUUUAUUAAAUUGUCCCUUCCUGCCAAAUUUUAAACGGGUUUUACUCAAAAGGAGGGUCUAGACUACAAUGAAACUUUCUCUCUAGUUUCCACAAAAGAUUCUUUUUGAGUGAUCAUGGCACUCACUGCACAUUGUAAUCUUGAACUACACCAGAUGGAUGUCAAAACAGCUUUUCUCAAUGGUAGUCUUGAUGAAGAAAUAUACAUGUAACAACCAAUUGGAUUCAUUGAAAGGGGGAAGGAAGAUAUGGUUUGUAACUUAACAAGUUAAUAUAUGGACUCAAACAGGCCUCUAGAUAAUGGUACAAAAUGUUUGAUCAAGUUGUAGCAGCUUUUGGCUUUGUGGAGAACAAAAUUGACAAUUGCAUCUACUUCAAAAUGGUGAAGUCUAAUUUUAUUUUUAUGGUUCUUUAUGUGGAUGACAUCUUACUUGCCAGUUCAAAUGUUCUUUUACUUGAAGAAAUCAAAAACAUGUUGUCAAGUAGCUUUGACAUGAAGGAUUUGGGUGCAGCACAUUGUGUUUUAGGCAUUGAGAUUACUAGGGACAGAUCCAAAGAGAUGGUUAGGCUUGUCACAUAAAGCUUAUGUUGAUAAGGUUCUCCAAAGGUUCAAUAUGGAGAACUGCAGUGGAGGAGAUAUACCACUUGGUAAGGGUGACAAAUUGUCCUUGUCUCAAUGCCCCAUUACUGACUAUUAAGUGCAGGCAAUGAAGGACAAGCCUUAUGCUUCUUUAAUUAGCAGUGUGAUGUAUGCUCAAGUCUGUACAAUGCCUGAUUUGGCUUUUGUGUUAAGUGUCUUAGGAAGGUUUCAAUUGAAUCUAGGAUUGGCUCACUGGAAUGCAGGUAAAAAGGUGUUGAGAUACAUGAAAAGAACUGAGUCAUAUGUGUUGUGUUGAGAUACUUGAAAAGAACUGAGUCAUGUGUUGUGUUGUGUUGUGUUAUCACCAUGUAGACAAUUUGGAAUUGGUAUGCUGCAUUGAUGUUGACUUAGGUGGAUGCAUUGAUGAUAGCAUGUCUACAAAUGGAUAUAUUUUUUUACUGUGUGAUGGUGUUGUCUCAUGGAGGAGCAAGAAACAAACUACAAGAGCAGUAUCUACUAUGGAGUCUGAAUAUAUUGGCUGUUUUGAGGCAAUUGAACAGUGUAACUGGGUGAAAAACUUAAUUUAUGAGAUGGAGAUUGUGAGAAGAAUUGAAAAGCCAAUCAAGCUUUACUGUGAUAAUACAACUGCAGUAUUCUUUGCUAAAAAAAACAAGAGAUCAGAGGCGUCAAGGCUUAUGGAUAUUAAAUACUUGAAAGUUCAAGAUAAAGUCAGAGAGGGUGUGAUUGAUAUACAACAUAUCAGUACACAUGACAUGGUUGCAAAUCCAUUGACAAAAGCCUUAAAUGUUACAGUCUACAACAAGCAUGUAUUAAUAAUGGGGUUUCAGUCAGCUUUGAUGUUCUUUAAAUGUGGGAGUAAUCUACACAAGUAUGUAUUUAAGUUGCAAAAGCUGUGAGUAAUGUUUAAUAUGAAUUCAUAUGUUGUGUUAAUGUUGAUUAAUGCAAAUUGCAAAUGUUUAAAGCAAUCAAGAUAUCUGCA
Molecule: long non-coding RNA, 2565 nt
Organism: Pyrus x bretschneideri (Chinese white pear)
Lineage: Eukaryota; Viridiplantae; Streptophyta; Magnoliopsida; Rosales; Rosaceae
Exons: 10
Source: RefSeq, a predicted model, not a curated record